This 88-nucleotide transfer RNA is filed under the name Candidatus Lithacetigena glycinireducens. RNAcentral's name for it is "tRNA-Leu". It matches the Rfam family "tRNA". Rfam says of the family: Transfer RNA (tRNA) molecules are approximately 80 nucleotides in length. Their secondary structure includes four short double-helical elements and three loops (D, anti-codon, and T loops). Lineage: Bacteria; Bacillati; Candidatus Lithacetigenota. The record is from RNAcentral. RNAcentral also lists the same sequence under 1 other name.
GCCGGGGUGGCGGAACAGGCAGACGCAGCGGACUUAAAAUCCGCUGAGGGUAAACCUCGUGGGGGUUCGAUUCCCUUCCCCGGCACCA